Ahaetulla prasina is the source of this 5421-nucleotide long non-coding RNA. RefSeq lists it as uncharacterized. The transcript is spliced from 3 exons. NCBI's taxonomy places the organism in Eukaryota, Metazoa, Chordata, Lepidosauria, Squamata, Colubridae. The record is from RefSeq and is a predicted model, not a curated record.
UCUCCCCUGGAAAUACUUCUCCUUCAUAGACUCUUCCCCUGCCCCGCCCCCCACCCCCACCCCAAGAUGACUGAAAAAUAAAAGUUUUUCUCUAAUCAGGAAUCAGAGCUGCUUUUAAAUAACUGCAGGACAAGCAGGGUCCACUACAGGUGAGAAAAAAAAUGUUUCGCGGGAGAUAUUUGGUCCUUGGUUUCCCACCCAUAUCCUACAGAAGAAUGGUAAAUUCUUCACCAUAACAGCCAAGAAGCUGAAAGUGUCUAGAAAAGUUUGCUGAGAUUCGUAUAGUCCCCUGGAUAUCUUUGUCUCUGUCACAUAUUUGUACACUUAUAUACAGCCUCACUGUGCUUUUUACAGCCCUCUCUAAGCGGUUUACAGAGCCAGCCUAUUGCCCCCAACAAUCUGGGUCCUCAUUUUACCCACCUCAGAAGGAUGGAAGGCUGAGUCAACCUUGAGCCUGGUGAGAUUCGAACAGCCAAACUGCUGGUAAUCAGCAGUCAGCAGAAGUAGCCUACAGUACUACAUUCUAACCACUGUGCCACCACAGCUCAUGUCUGUGGAGGAGCCUUAGCCAGGAAGGUGAACGAAAGAAACAAAAAUGGUAACAAAUAUAAAUUACAUCUAGCACAGCCUUUGUCUCUACUGUGCAAUUUUUUAUAGGAAAAGACCUAUAGGUGCCUCUGUUUGGAGAGAACCUGACAACAAGCCAGUUGCUUAUGGGUCUCCAAAUGGAUUGCCAUGAUAUUAGAACGUAUAGCUGGAAGAUAUCAGGGAGGUGAGAGUGAGUGGCCCAUCUUGACCAGUGGUUGGUAAAGAUCCCAAUAGGUUCACAGAUAUGGAGCAACCUUAUAGAUAACUCAAUUGUCAAAGAGGUAUCAUUCAUUAACUGCAGGCUCUUCCAAUUGCAAAGGCAUUAGGCCACUAGUUCUGACAGCAAACGAAUGGCAAAGUAACGCUGGAUUUCACUUGAAUUGGAUUACAGAUAGUCCUCAACUUAUAGCCACUCAUUUAGUGACUGGUGUUACAACGGCACUGAAAAAUGUCACUUACAACCAAUCCUCACGAUUACAACUGUCACAACAUCCCCACAGUCAUGUGAUCAAAGUUUGGGUGCUUGGCACAUAGUUAUAACAGUUAUAGCAUCCCGGAGUCGCCCGGUUGCCAUUUGCAUCUCUCCUAGCCAGUUUCCAACAAGCAAAGUCAAUGGGAAAAGCCAGAUUUGCUUAAGGAUCACAUGUAACUCAUUUAACAACCGCAGCAAUUUGCUUAAUGACUGUGACCAAAAAAAAAAAGUUGCAACCUCAGAUGUGACUCACUUAAUGACCACCUGGCUUAGAAAUGAAGAUUCUGGUUCCAACUGGGCUUGCAAAUUGAAGACUGCCGGUAGAACAGGGCCAGGUCAAUUUGGUGAGGUAAGCCAUAAGCCAUGGCUUUUGAGGAGUGAGAGCUACAGAGAGCUCAGUGAUACAAACAGGAAAGAGGCUGGUGGCUAUAUGCACCAGGCUGAAGCUGAGCUUCCAUUUUGGAGUGUGAAUUUUGUGUUUUUUAAUAUAAAUCCUAUUCCACUCUCAAGUGUCUCCAAAUGUUGGGAAAUCAUGUUGCUCAAAUUCAGUAAUCAAGCAGUAUUUGGUAGCAUGGUCAGACAUGAAGAAGCUUCUUGCAGGAGAAGCAAAACGUUUUCAAAGAAAAACCAGAAAGUCCAGUUACCUCUUGAAAAAUGCACCUUUGGGACAAUCAUGAUCUGGAUGACUGAGAAUCUCCGUAGACUUCCAGAAACUGCGUUAGCUGAGGUUACCCAUCUCUGCACUAGAGAACAUUCAAAGUUGGUGCAUCCAACUAUUUAUACUGUGCAUAGCAGAAUGAGUUUUGUGAUAUUUGAGGUUUAGCUUUAAAAGGGAAAAAAACUGCACACUCCUAAUUACAAUUUACAAAUAAAAUGUCAAACUCUGGAAGAUGGGCAGUUCCUCACCAGAUCUGAAAUUCCAGUCUUGCACAAUACAGUCCCAGAAGUACAGAAUGCUGAGUCUGGGUAGUAGAACACUUCCAUAGAUACAUAUAAAAGCCUGAAUGUUGUCCUUUACAGGAGCCAAUAUUAAAAUCUCAGAAGGUGAGAGCUGGGAAUAUUAAAAUAGCCAAGGCACAGCUGAGGUUCUCACCAGUCCUUGAGCUAGCAGAAAUCUAUACCAGCAUAACAUACGUUGCCUCUGGUGAUGAGCUCUAUCCUGCCACAGAUAUGAUGUUGACAAAUAGUGCUGGUUCUUAUUAAUAGGCAAGCAGGACACACUAAAAACAGGGAUUAAUACAUUUUCUACUGACUUUUAUUCCUUCCCCUCUUCAUUUUCUGACAGUGAGAGCAAUCGACCAAUGGAACAGCUUGCCUUCAGAAGUUUCAGGAGCUUCAUCAGUGGAAGCUUUCAAGAAGAGAUUGGACUGCCAUCUGUCAGAAAUCUGCUUGGACGGGGUGGGGGGUUGGACUAGAUGACCUACAAGGUCCCUUCCAACUCUGUUAAUUUGUAAUCUAAGUAGAGGGAAAAAUGCUUUCCUUAAUGUGGGUAUGAGGCAGAGGCAACUUUUGACAGAGGGCUAAAUCAGUGAGCGGAGCUACCUGUGAAAACUUGCUUUGGUUUUGUAUGGACGUUUUGUACAGGUGCCGUCAAAGGGAGCCCAAGUAUCAGUUGGCUCAAGCUCAUUUCAAAUACGGGUUUAGAGCUGUUCUAGCAGGCACUAAAACUAUGUUCAAAAGCGGCCUGGAGAACAAUUCACGUGGAAAAUUACACUGGGAAGCAGCCAAGAGAGGGCUGGCUGUCUCUCCUGCUUCACUAUGAAGCCUAGCCCACCCCCAUCAUUUAGGCUGAUACAGAUCACCAAUCCUGGGAUCGGACAGCUGGUACAGGAUGAGAGCUCUCCUGCUGCUUAAGCGGAAAGGUUUUGGAAGAAAACGCCCAGGGAUCACAGGAUGCCAUAGGUCCCUGGCCAAUCUCACCCUUUAGGGGUGACCUCGCAGCAGGGGUGAAAUCCAGCAGGUUCUGACAGGUUCUGGAGAACCGGUAGCGAAAAAGUAGUUUGGAGAACCGACAAAUGCCACCUCUGGCUGGCCCCAGAGUGGGGUGGGAAGGGAGAUUUUGCAAUAUCCUUUUCCUAGGAGUGGGGUGGGAAUGGAGAUUUUGCAGUAUCCUUCCCCCAGGAGUGGGAUGGGAAUGGAGAUUUUGUAGUAUCCUUCCCCUGCCAUGCCCACCAAGCCAUGCCCACAGAACCAGUAGUAAAAAAAAAAUGGAUUUCAUCACUGCCUCACAGGAACACUAACCAAACAGCUGGUGAAAAACACCAGACACCUCCUGUGUCAAAACCAUGGGACCUUAGCGAAUGCUUUAAGAGGUAAGUAAGGUUUUUAACUCUGGAGCAGCUAAGGACAAUUUUGAACUGCUUCAGGUAUGAAUCCUAGAGGAAAGGAAAACAGCAGCACCAAGACUGGGCCAGAAAAGAUGGUUACUAGGUUAUGCUCCUGACUCGGUUUCCCACGGAAGUGGGGAAAAAAAAGAGGGAAUGGUUAUCCCAGCCUCCUCUGAAUAGUUCUGGGACAAUAAGAAACAGCCUUGGUGGUGUAAUCAUUUGCUAAGAAUGGCUCUAAUGGCCCUUUCCUUUUAAACCCCUUCAUUAGCUUCCUUAUCGCUAUCUUGCAAGGGAAGUCCCAGUUAUGCAUGCAAUUCCUUGGUCCAAUCUUUCUACGCGACAGCCUAGAAUUCCUCCAACCUAUUACAGAAAAACCCCAACAACCCCGUGUUAGUGUGAGCCCUGAAUUAGUUUCCCUUUAAAAAUAGCCAGCGGACUCUGGCUCUCUUCCCUUCCCCCAAGUGCUGAGCCUUACAGAGUCCAUCCCAGCUGCCCUCUGACCCCACCCGCGAUGCUUCCUGUUCACCCCGAGCAGGAUUUCCUGCCCAGGGAAGGACAAGCCCAGGAAAUCCGACCGGCGCCAAGAACAGCCAAGUCCUGGCGCCUCCCAGCCAGGACUCAGGGGAGUCCAGCUGCAGGGUUUCAGAGCGAGAUGAAUCAUGCUGAAUGCUGUGGUUGUGGUCAGACCUCCAGUGCGGGGGGGGGGGGGAGGAAGGGUUUCUACUGCUUUGCAGAUGUGGGAAUGAAGGCACAGGGGGAGGAAGGCACCGCACACAAAUGUUGCAAGAUAGGGGCAGAAUCAGGAAUGCCGCCCAGAAUUCCCAGAUCCCAGCCCCUGCCAGUAUUAAGCUCUGGACUUGUUUCCUUCCCUUCCCUUUGGUCCUCUCCAAGCUCUCCGCCGCUGGUUGCAGCUCUCAUCCAUGAUCCCUUCUCUCACACAUUCCUGGUAUGAAGUAGGCGUGUUUGUCAAGUGUGGCUUUGGGGCCAGAUCCAGCAUUCCAGGCUGGGGUGAGCUGAGGUAAACGAGGAACAGCCCCCUGCCCACCCAACCCCUCCUGGCCUCCUAGUUUCAAGUACUAUAUAGCUUUGCUCCGUCUCUCCUUCAGACAAGGCUCAGAGACGGAAGAGUAGAGCAAACCCUGGCAGGCAAUUAGAGAGCCACAGACUUCACAACGUCAAUAUGUUGCUGCAGGCAAUGUGUACGUGACUGCACUCUACUUAGCCCCCUCCAACUCUUUUUUUUUUUUCCCUUUCCCCUGGAAGUCACUUUCAGAACUCUUUAGCUGGGAGUCAGGCGCCUCCCCAUCACUUUUUAGAUAACUUUGGCAAAUUAGGGAGAUAACAAAGCAACACUGAUUAUUAGUCUAGGUUGGAGUAUUGCACUGAGCUUCUGGAAGACGUGGGAGUUCAAUACAGCAGAUAGCACUAAGGUCUUAAGAUUUGGAAAGCCUUAAAACAAGGACGCUGAAUUAUAGAAUUCCAGGAGGAUCCAAGAAACAGCCCUCCAGACAUCAACAUGGAUAAUCUCAUGGCUUCAACGUAGGCGCAUGACGUGAAAGUUUCUUGGUCCUCCGAUUGUGGGAAGCAGAGGAGGAGAUGCAAAGGGAAGAAGGUGGAGCUUUUCCAAGUUAUUUCUCUGCUUCGGGGCAUGUGCAGGACAAGUCCAAAUGUACAUAUGUUUGGCUGUGCAUGAAGAGGCUGUACUCCCAACCUUCCCUUGCAAAGUGCUGCUGAAGUCACUGGGUCUGCCCUACCCACAGGGACACUCCGGGUGGAGUCCUUCUAUUGCAAAACUGCUCAGCUAUUCGGCAGGCCUGGCUCAAAGCUCAAGAGAGGCCAUGGGCUGGGAUCAGAAGGGGCUUUAAACGAAGAAAAACAGAAUCAGAAUGGAUACAAAACUCAGAAGGCGGCCAGGGCCUACAUGUGUCCUGCUCCAGGUUAAAAAAUAAAAGCAGAACAAUUUUUUGCCUUCUCAUUUAGCUACCACACUUUGGAUUACAGGCAGUCCUUGGCUUACAACCAUUCAAAGUUACA